GAGGGUGUAGCUCAGUGGUAGAGUGCAUGCUUAACAUACAUGAGGUCCUGGAUUCAAUCCCCAGUACCUCUG
RNAcentral lists this transfer RNA (72 nucleotides) under Camelus bactrianus (Bactrian camel). It matches the Rfam family "tRNA". From Rfam's summary of the family: Transfer RNA (tRNA) molecules are approximately 80 nucleotides in length. Their secondary structure includes four short double-helical elements and three loops (D, anti-codon, and T loops). Lineage: Eukaryota; Metazoa; Chordata; Mammalia; Artiodactyla; Camelidae. The record is from Rfam by way of RNAcentral. RNAcentral also lists the same sequence under 3 other names.